UGGGGAAUAUUGGACAAUGGGCGAAAGCCUGAUCCAGCCAUGCCGCAUGAGUGAAGCAGGCCUUUGGGUUGUAAAGCUCUUUUAGUGAGGAAGAUAAUGACGGUACUCACAGAAGAAGUCCUGGCUAACUCCGUGCCAGCAGCCGCGGUAAUACGGAGAGGGCUAGCGUUAUUCGGAAUUAUUGGGCGUAAAGGGCGCGUAGGCUGGUUAAUAAGUUAAAAGUGAAAUCCCGAGGCUUAACCUUGGAAUUGCUUUUAAAACUAUUAAUCUAGAGAUUGAAAGAGGAUAGAGGAAUUCCUGAUGUAGAGGUAAAAUUCGUAAAUAUUAGGAGGAACACCGGUGGCGAAGGCGUCUAUCUGGUUCAAAUCUGACGCUGAAGCGCGAAGGCGUGGGGAGCAAACA
RNAcentral lists this ribosomal RNA (402 nucleotides) under uncultured bacterium. Its description in RNAcentral is "partial 16S ribosomal RNA". It matches the Rfam family "Bacterial small subunit ribosomal RNA", at positions 355 to 774 of the family's 1533-position model. The record is from RNAcentral.